GUGGCUAUAGCUCAGCUGGUUAGAGCAUCGGUUUGUGGUACCGAGGGUCGUGGGUUCAAGUCCCAUUAGCCACC
RNAcentral lists this transfer RNA (74 nucleotides) under Flavobacteriales bacterium. RNAcentral's name for it is "tRNA-His". It matches the Rfam family "tRNA". From Rfam's summary of the family: Transfer RNA (tRNA) molecules are approximately 80 nucleotides in length. Their secondary structure includes four short double-helical elements and three loops (D, anti-codon, and T loops). The record is from RNAcentral. Lineage: Bacteria; Pseudomonadati; Bacteroidota; Flavobacteriia; Flavobacteriales.